RNAcentral lists this long non-coding RNA (492 nucleotides) under Coturnix japonica (Japanese quail). RNAcentral's name for it is "lncRNA (ENSCJPG00005007771.1)". Lineage: Eukaryota; Metazoa; Chordata; Aves; Galliformes; Phasianidae. The record is from RNAcentral.
UUUGGAUUUUGCAUAGACCAGCUGUAUGUCUCUUGCUUAUCUAGUUAUUCUUUUUCCCUUAACUCUUGCCAUUAUCUCUUCCCAAAUUGUUUCCUCCUUAACUGUGAAAUAUUCAUCAAGGCAGAGGCUGACACUACAGCAUCACUACACUCCUUUGAAUGUUCCUCAUACCACCAGUAUUUUAAUCCAACAAAAUUUCAAAGCACCAUGCCAUCAGAGGGUUCCACGGUGUGCUGCAAAAUCGGUUGAAACUUGUUUAUGUUCUGAAAAUAAGAUCUUAGUGGGGACAGAAAAAGAAGAAAGCAAUUUCUAAAGCUACAGGAAACACAAAACUGGAAUGUAAGUGAGUGAGUAAAUUCAGAUUAUCACAAGGUAUCAGAUGUUAAUGGUUCUAGGAUAUUUAAAAGGCAAAUCUUGAGCUCAAUUUUAAGAAAUCAGGAACUCAGAGAGUUACGUAUGAGACAACACAUUUCAAUAUGCAGAAUAUUUGAG